This is a small nuclear RNA of Vulpes vulpes (red fox), 104 nucleotides long. The record is from Ensembl. Lineage: Eukaryota; Metazoa; Chordata; Mammalia; Carnivora; Canidae.
GUGCUCGCUUUGGCAGCACAUACACUAAAAUGGGAAUGAUACAGAGAAGAUUAGCAUGGCCCCUGUGCAAGGAGGACACCCAAAUUCAUAGAAAGUAUCCUUUC